RNAcentral lists this small RNA (793 nucleotides) under Arabidopsis thaliana (thale cress). RNAcentral's name for it is "ATSL281090". The record is from RNAcentral. Lineage: Eukaryota; Viridiplantae; Streptophyta; Magnoliopsida; Brassicales; Brassicaceae.
AAUUCUAUUUAUGUUAUACCUUAAUUUAGAAAACUUAAAUCUAUUCCAUUUCUAUAAAAAGAAUUUAACUUGUAUUUUUAUUAUUACGAGAGUCUAAUAUACUUUUUCCUAAAUAACUUUGUGUUCUUACUCUCAUCGAUUUAUCAAAAAUCUUGUGAAUUAAUGCUCAAACAGUCACUCCCAUGGCACAAGCCGUUUCACUCAUAUCGAACUCGAACCACUCUUAUCCGAUCUAGCUUUCAACAACAUACAAAUGUAAUAUCAGAGUGGUUUGUGAUUUAAAAAUAUAUUCAUAAACAUGUUUUCUUCAGUAAAAAACAAUAGUGUGGCUUUCACUUGUGAGAAAUGGUUGUGGGAUGUUUUCAUCUGUGGUUCUUUGGAAAUUUCUUCUCUUUAAUGGUCCCAUGAUGUGUGUCCGUCGAUUAUUGAUCGUUUCUAUAUCUAGUAAUUACCAUUUCAAAAGUUUUUAUAUUGUCAAAGAUUCUUCCAAGGUCCCUUUUUAUGGUAAGUUCAUGUUCAUCAUCUGGUUUUGUUCAUCAUGAUCAAUUGUUUUUUAGUACCAACUACCAACAUCCAUAUUUUGUUAGCAUUUUGUACUUCUUCUCCAAUAAAUAACGAGAAAUAGAACAUGAAAAAUCCUCGAAAAUCAUAUUUCAGUUUUUGUACAGAAUAGUUACAUGGAAGAGAUAUUCAUGUGAUGAUGUUAACAACAAGGAAGAAUCAGAACUGUUCAAGAAGCUUGUGUAUGACAUCGUUGGAAAACAAAUCAAUGCUCACAUUGAAAAAUUAGAAA